RNAcentral lists this ribosomal RNA (459 nucleotides) under uncultured bacterium. RNAcentral's name for it is "partial 16S ribosomal RNA". It matches the Rfam family "Bacterial small subunit ribosomal RNA", at positions 338 to 795 of the family's 1533-position model. The record is from RNAcentral.
CCUACGGGAGGCAGAAGUGAGGAAUAUUGGUCCAUGGGCGUAAGCCUGCACCAGCCAAGUCGCGUGAGGGAUGAAGGUUCUAUGGAUCGUAAACCUCUUUUAUAAGGGGAUAAAGUGUGGGACGUGUCCUAUUUUGUAUGUAACUUAUGAAUAAGGAUCGGCUAACUCCGUGCAAGCAGCCGCGGUAAAACGGGGGUCCGAGGGUUAUCCGGACUUAUUGGGUGUAAAGGGUGCGUAGGCGGGCGUUUAAGUCAGCUGUGAAAGUGUUGGGCUCAACCAUAGAAUUGUCGUUGAAACUGGGGGGCUUGAGUAUGUUUGAGGCAGGCGGAAUGCGUGGUGUAGCGGUGAAAUGCUUAGAUAUCACGCAGAACCCCGAUUGCGAAGGCAGCCUGCCAAGCCAUGACUGACGCUGAUGCACGAAAGCGUGGGGAUCAAACAGGAUUAGAUACCCUUGUAGUC